GGGAACGUACCUUUUGGUUCGGAACAACACAGGGAAACUUGUGCUAAUACCGGAUAAGCCCUUACGGGGAAAGAUUUAUCGCCGAAAGAUCGGCCCGCGUCUGAUUAGCUAGUUGGUAGGGUAACGGCCUACCAAGGCGACGAUCAGUAGCUGGUCUGAGAGGAUGAUCAGCCACAUUGGGACUGAGACACGGCCCAAACUCCUACGGGAGGCAGCAGUGGGGAAUAUUGGACAAUGGGGGCAACCCUGAUCCAGCCAUGCCGCGUGAGUGAUGAAGGCCCUAGGGUUGUAAAGCUCUUUUGUGCGGGAAGAUAAUGACGGUACCGCAAGAAUAAGCCCCGGCUAACUUCGUGCCAGCAGCCGCGGUAAUACGAAGGGGGCUAGCGUUGCUCGGAAUCACUGGGCGUAAAGGGUGCGUAGGCGGGUUUUUAAGUCAGAGGUGAAAUCCUGGAGUUCAACUCCAGAACUGCCUUUGAUACUGGGAAUCUUGAGUAUGGAAGAGGCGAGUGGAACUGCGAGU
Molecule: ribosomal RNA, 520 nt
Filed under: uncultured bacterium
Lineage: Bacteria
Description: bacterial SSU rRNA
Rfam family: Bacterial small subunit ribosomal RNA
Source: RNAcentral